This 292-nucleotide ribosomal RNA is filed under the name uncultured bacterium. RNAcentral describes it as "partial 16S ribosomal RNA". It matches the Rfam family "Bacterial small subunit ribosomal RNA", at positions 505 to 796 of the family's 1533-position model. The record is from RNAcentral.
GUGCCAGCCGCCGCGGUAAUACGUAGGGGGCAAGCGUUGUCCGGAUUUAUUGGGCGUAAAGAGCGUGUAGGCGGUUUGGUAGGUCCGCUGUGAAAACUCGAGGCUCAACCUCGAGACGCCGGUGGAAACCAUCAGACUAGAGUCCGGAAGAGGAGAGUGGAAUUCCUGGUGUAGCGGUGAAAUGCGCAGAUAUCAGGAAGAACACCCGUGGCUAAGGCGGCUCUCUAGUACGGUACUGACGCUGAGACGCGAAAGCGUGGGGAGCGAACAGGAUUAGAAACCCUCGUAGUCC